UAAUUAAAAAAUAAUUUGUAUUUAAAAAUUUUAAUUAAAUUUUUUUUUAAAAAUAUUGUUUAAAUAGGUCAGUCUAACCCGAUCCAAUUAAAGUCUAUUAUUAUAUGGGUUAGGUUUUGGGUUUUCACAUAUCAAUAAGCUGGCCUGAUCCGAAGGUCCAUUACAAUAUGGCUCUCGAGCUCGACCUGAUCUAUUAACACCUCUACUCUACACUUAAAAGGACAUAGCUGCCGAAACUGUUAAGAAGAGGUCGCACCACCAAAAAACCUUACUAAAGGUCAAUAGUUGGUGCUACUAUAGUGGCUAUAAAGAAGAGAAGAAGUGAAAAAGCUGGAGUUCGAGAUGCUGCUAGGGAGGCUGCUCUGCGUGAAAUUAAGGAGAGAAUUAAGAAACCCAAGGAUGAGAAGAAGGCCAGAAAGGCAGAGGUAAUGGCCAAGACACAAAAGACUCAGAGCAAGGCUAAUCUACCUAGGGGUGGCACAUCGAGGGGCCUAAAGCUUGGGGGCGAAGGAGGAAAGCGCUGAAUUUCUUUUUCCUAACAUUAUUGAUUUUCUUCCCUUAAACAUUUGGUGAUCAUUAUAAAUCUGGUCUCGCAUUUGAUAUUUCAAUUGUUUCACUGUAUGAUUUUGAUAUUGUUUCUGAAACUAUGAUUGCAGUGUUGAAAAAGAUAUUCUCGACUUCUAA
This is a long non-coding RNA of Mangifera indica (mango), 684 nucleotides long. RefSeq lists it as uncharacterized. The transcript has 2 exons. Lineage: Eukaryota; Viridiplantae; Streptophyta; Magnoliopsida; Sapindales; Anacardiaceae. The record is from RefSeq and is a predicted model, not a curated record.